Molecule: non-coding RNA, 135 nt
Organism: Triticum aestivum (bread wheat)
Lineage: Eukaryota; Viridiplantae; Streptophyta; Magnoliopsida; Poales; Poaceae
Source: Rfam
GAAAUACUCCCUCUAUCCGGAAAUACUUGUCAUCAAAAUGAAUAAAAAGGGAUGUAUCUAGACGUAUUUUAGUUCUAGAUACAUCUCUUUUUAUUCAUUUUGAUCACAAGUAUUUCCGGACGGAGAGAGUACAAA